Molecule: ribosomal RNA, 722 nt
Filed under: Boana raniceps (Chaco treefrog)
Lineage: Eukaryota; Metazoa; Chordata; Amphibia; Anura; Hylidae
Description: partial 16S ribosomal RNA
Rfam family: Bacterial large subunit ribosomal RNA
Source: RNAcentral
AACGGCCGCGGUAUCCUAACCGUGCGAAGGUAGCGUAAUCACUUGUUCUUUAAAUGAGGACUAGUAUGAAUGGCACCACGAGGGUUAAACUGUCUCCUUUUUUUAAUCAGUGAAACUAAUCUCCCCGUGAAGAAGCGAGGAUUCUUUUAUAAGACGAGAAGACCCUAUGGAGCUUUAAACAAGUUAACACCUGCUACUAAUCNNUUCACUUUCCUGAACCACCACAUUAAGUAUAGCACCUCUGAUUAACAGUUUUCGAUUGGGGUGAUCAUGGAGCAAAAAUCAACCUCCACGACGAAAAGGAACACCUCCUUGAGCCAAAAGCUACAACUUUAAGCACUAAAAAACUAACGCACUUUGACCCAAUUCUUUGAGCAACGAACCAAGUUACCCUAGGGAUAACAGCGCAAUCCACUUUAAGAGCUCCUAUCGACAAGUGGGUUUACGACCUCGAUGUUGGAUCAGGGUAUCCCAGUGGUGCAGCCGCUACUAAAGGUUCGUUUGUUCAACGAUUAAAACCCUACGUGAUCUGAGUUCAGACCGGAGUAAUCCAGGUCAGUUUCUAUCUAUAAAGGGCUUUUUCUAGUACGAAAGGACCGAAAAAGCAUGGCCUAUAACCCAUCAAGCCAUAUAAAUUACUAUUGUUCCCAACUUAAAUAGAAGUAAACCUACCACUUAUCUCGAUAAAAGAGAAGUUAACGUAGCAUAACCUGGCCUUGCAG